Molecule: non-coding RNA, 58 nt
Organism: Aedes albopictus (Asian tiger mosquito)
Lineage: Eukaryota; Metazoa; Arthropoda; Insecta; Diptera; Culicidae
Source: Rfam
UAGCCUAGUGGUUAAGGCUAUGGAUCGCCAAUCCGGAGGUGGCGGGUUCGAUUCCCGU